RNAcentral lists this long non-coding RNA (875 nucleotides) under Anas platyrhynchos platyrhynchos (common mallard). RNAcentral's name for it is "lncRNA (ENSAPLG00000021964.1)". The record is from RNAcentral. Lineage: Eukaryota; Metazoa; Chordata; Aves; Anseriformes; Anatidae.
AUUUACAACCCAAUUAUAAUGUUUUUGUUAUAACAGACACCAAGAUGACUGUAUGAUAAAGGAAUUUAAAGUAUUCUCUUUUUACCACUAAUGUACUGCCUGUGAGAGGACCAGGAGGAAGUAAUCUGUGUCAGUCACUGUUUUAGCCUUAAGAUGUUCAAAAUUAGAAAAUACUUCUUCAAUAUGAAGGAGUAGGAAAAGUCAGACAUAGCUUUGCAGGUCCUCACCUAUUUAUGAGAGGAGAAGGCACAAGUAAACCAGGGCAUUGUUUAAAACUGUAUCCUUAAAACAGGGUUAGCAAGAGAGAAAAGGUGCCAAAGCAAAUUCAAACUGAGCAUAACAAGGAUGGAAGAGCAAGUUAAUUGGAACCAGUAAGUAGCUUGUGUAGGGUAAAUUUAAAUUUUUUCUUACCUCAUUUUGCCAGCUUUCAAUGUAUUUGUAUUUACUCAUCCACAUCUGAAUUUCACUUUACAUUUCCAUUUACUUAUUUCUUGUACUCCCUUUUCACAGACUCUCUGAAAUGGAAUACAAAUGCAAACUAUGGGCUCAGGACUUCUACAAAAAGACAGAGACAUGGAGAAAGACAGUUAAGGAAACAGGACCAGCAGUUUGAGGAGCUGUGACGCACCACAGGAAAAGUACAGAGCAAGUUUGGGUGAUGACUUUGAUCAACUCUAUCUUUGACUUUUAGUCAGUCUUUGUAAUUAUUGUUAUUUUCUUUCAUUUUAUUGUGGUUUUUCAAAAUGUAUCUGCACUUUACAAAUGCUAUUUUCCUCAGCUGAAAGAAUCCGAACAAACAAGCAGAAAACCAAGCCAAAAGCACAACUCCAAAGUACAUAUUAUUCCCAGCUAUACAUUCAGAAGGCAGAAAUAAA